GCGGACAUAGCUCAAUGGCAGAGCGCCGGCUUGAAACACCGGAGAUAUGGGUUCGACUCCCGUUGUCCACA
RNAcentral lists this transfer RNA (71 nucleotides) under Neolewinella agarilytica. RNAcentral's name for it is "Lewinella agarilytica tRNA". It matches the Rfam family "tRNA". From Rfam's summary of the family: Transfer RNA (tRNA) molecules are approximately 80 nucleotides in length. Their secondary structure includes four short double-helical elements and three loops (D, anti-codon, and T loops). Lineage: Bacteria; Pseudomonadati; Bacteroidota; Saprospiria; Saprospirales; Lewinellaceae. The record is from Rfam by way of RNAcentral.